RNAcentral lists this ribosomal RNA (506 nucleotides) under uncultured bacterium. RNAcentral's name for it is "partial 16S ribosomal RNA". It matches the Rfam family "Bacterial small subunit ribosomal RNA", at positions 29 to 523 of the family's 1533-position model. The record is from RNAcentral.
AGUGAACGCUGGCGGUAGGCCUAACACAUGCAAGUCGAACGGCAGCACAGAGGAGCUUGCUCCUUGGGUGGCGAGUGGCGGACGGGUGAGGAAUACAUCGGAAUCUACUCUGUCGUGGGGGAUAACGUAGGGAAACUUACGCUAAUACCGCAUACGACCUACGGGUGAAAGCAGGGGACCUUCGGGCCUUGCGCGAUUGAAUGAGCCGAUGUCGGAUUAGCUAGUUGGCGGGGUAAAGGCCCACCAAGGCGACGAUCCGUAGCUGGUCUGAGAGGAUGAUCAGCCACACUGGAACUGAGACACGGUCCAGACUCCUACGGGAGGAAGCAGUGGGGAAUAUUGGACAAUGGGCGCAAGCCUGAUCCAGCCAUACCGCGUGGGUGAAGAAGGCCUUCGGGUUGUAAAGCCCUUUUGUUGGGAAAGAAAUCCAGCUGGCUAAUACCCGGUUGGGAUGACGGUACCCAAAGAAUAAGCACCGACUAACUUUGUGCCAGCCGCCGCGGUAA